This 490-nucleotide ribosomal RNA is filed under the name uncultured bacterium. Its description in RNAcentral is "partial 16S ribosomal RNA". It matches the Rfam family "Bacterial small subunit ribosomal RNA", at positions 30 to 507 of the family's 1533-position model. The record is from RNAcentral.
AUUGAACGCUGGCGGCAGGCCUAACACAUGCAAGUCGAGUGGUUAAAGGGAACUUGCUGCUGUUUUCCUCGGCGGUGGCGGGCGUGAUGGUUAUGAAUCUGCAUCUUCCUGGUGGAGGAGGUUCGCUAACGGGCACGGUUGCCACAUCCGUCUUACGUCGGAAGGUGAAGGAGGUUCGCCUCUCGGGCUCUCAGCUGCGCCUAUGUCCAGAUGGGAUUAGCUAGUAGGUGGGGUAACGGCUCACCUAGGCGACGAUCCCUAGCUGGUCUGAGAGGAUGACCAGCCACACUGGAACUGAGACACGGUCCAGACUCCUACGGGAGGCAGCAGUGGGGAAUAUUGCACAAUGGGCGCAAGCCUGAUGCAGCCAUGCCGCGUGUAUGAAGAAGGCCUUCGGGUUGUAAAGUACUUUCAGCGGGGAGGAAGGGAGUAAAGUUAAUACCUUUGCGUAUUGACGUUACCCGCAGAAGAAGCACCGGCUAACUCCGUG